CUUGGUCAUUUAGAGGAAGUAAAAGUCGUAACAAGGUCUCCGUAGGUGAACCUGCGGAGGGAUCAUUACACAAAUAUGAAGGCGGGCUGGAACCUCUCGGGGUUACAGCCUUGCUGAAUUAUUCACCCUUGUCUUUUGCGUACUUCUUGUUUCCUUGGUGGGUUCGCCCACCACUAGGACAAACAUAAACCUUUUGUAAUUGCAAUCAGCGUCAGUAACAAAUUAAUAAUUACGACUUUCAACAACGGAUCUCUUGGUUCUGGCAUCGAUGAAGAACGCAGCGAAAUGCGAUAAGUAGUGUGAAUUGCAGAAUUCAGUGAAUCAUCGAAUCUUUGAACGCACAUUGCGCCCUUUGGUAUUCCAAAGGGCAUGCCUGUUCGAGCGUCAUUUGUACCCUCAAGCUUUGCUUGGUGUUGGGCGUCUUGUCUCUAGCUUUGCUGGAGACUCGCCUUAAAGUAAUUGGCAGCCGGCCUACUGGUUUCGGAGCGCAGCACAAGUCGCACUCUCUAUCAGCAAAGGUCUAGCAUCCAUUAAGCCUUUUUUUCAACUUUUGACCUCGGAUCAGGUAGGGAUACCCGCUGAACUUAAGCAUAUCAAUAAGCGGAGGA
This 608-nucleotide ribosomal RNA is filed under the name uncultured fungus. Its description in RNAcentral is "eukaryotic LSU rRNA". The stretch from base 234 to 387 matches the Rfam family "5.8S ribosomal RNA". Lineage: Eukaryota; Fungi. The record is from RNAcentral.